UUUCGCCUACGGGAGGCAGCAGCGAGGAAUAUUGGUCAAUGGGCGGUAGCCUGAACCAGCCAAGUAGCGUGAAGGAUGAAGGUUCUAUGGAUUUUAAACUUCUUUUAUAAAGGAAUAAAGUGAGGCACGUGUGCCUUUUUGUAUGUACUUUAUGAAUAAGGAUCGGCUAACUCCGUGCCAGCAGCCGCGGUAAUACGGAGGAUCCGAGCGUUAUCCGGAUUUAUUGGGUUUA
Molecule: ribosomal RNA, 232 nt
Filed under: uncultured bacterium
Lineage: Bacteria
Description: partial 16S ribosomal RNA
Rfam family: Bacterial small subunit ribosomal RNA
Source: RNAcentral